GACGAACGCUGGCGGCGUGCCUAAUACAUGCAAGUAGAACGCACAGUUUAUACCGUAGCUUGCUACACCAUAGACUAUGAGUUGCGAACGGGUGAGUAACGCGUAGGUAACCUGCCUGGUAGCGGGGGAUAACUAUUGGAAACGAUAGCUAAUACCGCAUAAUAUUAAUUAUUGCAUGAUAAUUAAUUGAAAGGUGCAAUUGCACCACUACCAGAUGGACCUGCGUUGUAUUAGCUAGUAGGUGAGGUAACGGCUCACCUAGGCGACGAUACAUAGCCGACCUGAGAGGGUGAUCGGCCACACUGGGACUGAGACACGGCCCAGACUCCUACGGGAGGCAGCAGUAGGGAAUCUUCGGCAAUGGACGAAAGUCUGACCGAGCAACGCCGCGUGAGUGAAGAAGGUUUUCGGAUCGUAAAGCUCUGUUGUAAGAGAAGAACGGGUGUGAGAGUGGAAAGUUCACACUGUGACGGUAUCUUACCAGAAAGGGACGGCUAACUACGUG
RNAcentral lists this ribosomal RNA (505 nucleotides) under uncultured bacterium. RNAcentral's name for it is "partial 16S ribosomal RNA". It matches the Rfam family "Bacterial small subunit ribosomal RNA", at positions 28 to 507 of the family's 1533-position model. The record is from RNAcentral.